CUACGGGGUGCUGCAGUGGGGAAUAUUGCACAAUGGGCGCAAGCCUGAUGCAGCCGUGCCGCGUGUAUGAAGAAGGCCUUCGGGUUGUAAAGUACUUUCAGCGGGGAGGAAGGGAGUAAAGUUAAUACCUUUGCUCAUUGACGUUACCCGCAGAAGAAGCACCGGCUAACUCCGUGCCAGCAGCCGCGGUAAUACGGAGGGUGCAAGCGUUAAUCGGAAUUACUGGGCGUAAAGCGCACGCAGGCGGUUUGUUAAGUCAGAUGUGAAAUCCCCGGGCUCAACCUGGGAACUGCAUCUGAUACUGGCAAGCUUGAGUCUCGUAGAGGGGGGUAGAAUUCCAGGUGUAGCGGUGAAAUGCGUAGAGAUCUGGAGGAAUACCGAUGGCGAAGGCGGCCCCCUGGACGAAGACUGACGCUCAGGUGCGAAAGCGUGGGGAGCAAACAGGAUUAGAUACCCCGGUAGUC
Molecule: ribosomal RNA, 464 nt
Filed under: uncultured bacterium
Lineage: Bacteria
Description: partial 16S ribosomal RNA
Rfam family: Bacterial small subunit ribosomal RNA
Source: RNAcentral